Long non-coding RNA from Camelina sativa (false flax), 454 nucleotides. RefSeq lists it as uncharacterized. Lineage: Eukaryota; Viridiplantae; Streptophyta; Magnoliopsida; Brassicales; Brassicaceae. The record is from RefSeq and is a predicted model, not a curated record.
UCUCUCUCUUUCCUCUCUCUCGACGAAACUGCGAAUCGAUUUCUUGUUCUGGCUUCAAAAAUACAACGAAACUCAAUCGAUGAAACGAGACGAGGAAGAUGCUGGAGCUAACGAAGAUGAGGACACCGGAGCUCAGAUUGCUCGAUCUGUUGUUCAUGGGAGAUGUGAGUGUGGUUUCAAGAUCUGUAGAGAUUGUUACUUUGAUUGUAUUUGUAUCACAAGCGGUGGAGGCAAUUGUCCUAAAUGUAAAGAGCCGUACAGGGACAUCAACGAUGAUGUUGCCAGUUUGUAAACGACAACGGAAAGCCUCUUGUCAAGCUUUGAGUCACCCAUCUAAGGAAGAGGUUUAGCCUCAUCUUCUUCAUCUUCUUCCGCCGAUAAUGAACAACCCUUACAGCAAUCAAUCUCUGUCUCUCGCAUUAUGUAUAUAUAAUUUGGUCUCUAUUCCUCACUU